AAAAAUGCACAUUAAUUCAAAAACGAUCCAAUUAAUCUAAAGAAAAAUCAUGGCUAAACAUAACACACAAUAUGAUCAACACACAAAAAAUCAAGGAAUUUGGACAUGAUUAGGCAUGGUAAAGAAAUUGCAUAAGGCAAGGUAACCAAAACAAGCUCAAAUAUGACACCAAAUGGCACAUCAACUUAGCACAAGCCUAAAACAUAAAUGGAACAAGGUAAAGACCUCAAACCAAAGCCAAAACAAACUUCAACAUGUCUAGAAGCAAUGUGCA
This 274-nucleotide long non-coding RNA is filed under the name Lathyrus oleraceus (garden pea). RNAcentral describes it as "Pisum sativum (pea) long non-coding RNA (PSAT_LNC028419)". The record is from RNAcentral. Lineage: Eukaryota; Viridiplantae; Streptophyta; Magnoliopsida; Fabales; Fabaceae.